RNAcentral lists this ribosomal RNA (427 nucleotides) under uncultured bacterium. Its description in RNAcentral is "partial 16S ribosomal RNA". It matches the Rfam family "Bacterial small subunit ribosomal RNA", at positions 355 to 774 of the family's 1533-position model. The record is from RNAcentral.
UGGGGAAUAUUGCACAAUGGGCGCAAGCCUGAUGCAGCCAUGCCGCGUGUAUGAAGAAGGCCUUCGGGUUGUAAAGUACUUUCAGCGAGGAGGAAGGCGUUGUGGUUAAUAACCGCAGCGAUUGACGUUACUCGCAGAAGAAGCACCGGCUAACUCCGUGCCAGCAGCCGCGGUAAUACGGAGGGUGCAAGCGUUAAUCGGAAUUACUGGGCGUAAAGCGCACGCAGGCGGUCUGUCAAGUCGGAUGUGAAAUCCCCGGGCUCAACCUGGGAACUGCAUCCGAAACUGGCAGGCUAGAGUCUCGUAGAGGGGGGUAGAAUUCCAGGUGUAGCGGUGAAAUGCGUAGAGAUCUGGAGGAAUACCGGUGGCGAAGGCGGCCCCCUGGACGAAGACUGACGCUCAGGUGCGAAAGCGUGGGGAGCAAACA